AACUUUCAACAACGGAUCUCUUGGUUCUGGCAUCGAUGAAGAACGCAGCGAAAUGCGAUAAGUAAUGUGAAUUGCAGAAUUCAGUGAAUCAUCGAAUCUUUGAACGCACAUUGCGCCCGCCAGUAUUCUGGCGGGCAUGCCUGUUCGAGCGUCAUUUCAACCAUCAAGCCCCGG
Molecule: ribosomal RNA, 174 nt
Filed under: Apiosordaria nigeriensis
Lineage: Eukaryota; Fungi; Ascomycota; Sordariomycetes; Sordariales; Lasiosphaeriaceae
Also listed under: 1 other name
Description: 5.8S ribosomal RNA
Rfam family: 5.8S ribosomal RNA (bases 1-154)
About the family: 5.8S ribosomal RNA (5.8S rRNA) is a component of the large subunit of the eukaryotic ribosome. It is transcribed by RNA polymerase I as part of the 45S precursor that also contains 18S and 28S rRNA.
Source: RNAcentral